UCCUGUCUUUAUGGUUUGGGUAACGACUUAUGGUGAUUGUUCACGAGUCAUUGCCUGGACUUACAGUCUGGGAAAAAUCUCAGGAAAACCAUACUGUUGUGGUCACAAGUCACACCCUACGAUGCAUGACCAAACCUUAAAAAUUGUGAGGAUUAGGUAGUGAUCGAGGUAGAAGCCCUGGAUAAUCUUACUAGUUAGGCAAUAGUUGGAGCCCUACGACUCAUGACGACUGCUAACGACGUAUCACCCGAGUCAUUUCCUGGGCAGUGUUGUCAACACACAAAAAUUUUAAGAGUCCAAGACCUAGGUAUUACAUUACUCCCCUUAGGAUCAUUUAUCCUUGAAUAAAGAGUUCAGA
This 358-nucleotide long non-coding RNA is filed under the name Capsicum annuum. RNAcentral describes it as "long non-coding RNA (CANN_LNC011503)". The record is from RNAcentral. Lineage: Eukaryota; Viridiplantae; Streptophyta; Magnoliopsida; Solanales; Solanaceae.